CUCUGUGAAGACACAGGUAAGCUUCCUGCCUCAGUAGCUUGAAGGCUCUUGAUGCUGGUGGCCCAGUGCGGCAUAAAUGCUCACAUCAAGUGUUCUGCGACAAGCGUACAACCGUAUAAGCCUCCAUCAAGACGGAACAUUCCCCCUUACUCUGGGGUUUUCCUUCUGGCCAACCUCUCUGCCCCAGGCUUCUGACAAAACUCAGUUGGAGACUACAGAGGAGAGAACUUUGCAAAAUCCAAGGAAAUAGAAACUGAGCAUAGUUGCAAAAGUGACCCAGAACUCUUCCAGGUGGAAGGAAGUCCCUGUCAGGAUGAACAUUUGACUGAUGUGAACAGAAAACCAAGGAAAUGGUAAAAACAGGAGAAGUAUCUGGGCAGGACUGGUGGCACAGACCUGUAAUGCCAGCUGCUCUGGAGGCUGAGACAGAAGGGCAAAGCUGAGGCCAGCCUGGAUAACUCAGUGAGAUAUUGUCUCAAUAAAACGUUUUUGUAAAGUGA
Peromyscus eremicus (cactus mouse) is the source of this 500-nucleotide long non-coding RNA. RefSeq lists it as uncharacterized. The transcript has 3 exons. The record is from RefSeq and is a predicted model, not a curated record. NCBI's taxonomy places the organism in Eukaryota, Metazoa, Chordata, Mammalia, Rodentia, Cricetidae.